GCUCCAGGGAGCCUUUGCCCUGUGGUGCCAUGCAAAGAGCUUGGUCUUUGGAGCCA
Molecule: microRNA precursor, 56 nt
Filed under: Homo sapiens (human)
Lineage: Eukaryota; Metazoa; Chordata; Mammalia; Primates; Hominidae
Description: miAB32_pre
Source: RNAcentral